CAGGCCUAACACAUGCAAGUCGAACGCUAUAUUUAUAUAGAGUGGCGCACGGGUGAGUAACACGUGGGAAUCUGCCCUUCUGCCUGGGAUAACAGUUGGAAACGACUGCUAAUACCGGAUACGCCCUUCGGGGGAAAGGUCCGCCGCAGAAGGAGGAGCCCGCGCUCGAUUAGCUAGUUGGUGAGGUAAUGGCUCACCAAGGCAACGAUCGAUAGCUGGUCUGAGAGGAUGAUCAGCCACACUGGGACUGAGACACGGCCCAGACUCCUACGGGAGGCAGCAGUGGGGAAUAUUGGACAAUGGGGGCAACCCUGAUCCAGCAAUGCCGCGUGUGUGAUGAAAGCCUUAGGGUUGUAAAGCACUUUCACUGGUGAAGAUGAUGACGGUAACCAGAGAAGAAGCCCCGGCUAACUUCGUGCCAGCAGCCGCGGUAAUACGAAGGGGGCGAGCGUUGUUCGGAAUUACUGGGCGUAAAGGGAGCGCAGGCGGUUCAUUAAGUUAGGCGUGAAAGCCCCGGGCUCAACCUGGGAACUGCGCUUAAUACUGGUGAGCUAGAAAACAGGAGAGGGUAGUGGAAUUUCCAGUGUAGAGGUGAAAUUCGUAGAUAUUGGAAAGAACACCGGUGGCGAAAGCGGCUACCUGGCCUGAU
RNAcentral lists this ribosomal RNA (649 nucleotides) under uncultured bacterium. RNAcentral's name for it is "bacterial SSU rRNA". It matches the Rfam family "Bacterial small subunit ribosomal RNA", at positions 43 to 738 of the family's 1533-position model. The record is from RNAcentral.